CUCUCUGGGAGGGGGUAGCUAAGAAAAGUAUUAGCUUAGAUGAAGACCAAGAAUAGGAGGUUUUUUUAGGAACUCUGUUUUCUGCUACUUUAUCCUUAGUCUGUAGUUCUUACCUAACUGAAAAAAAAAAAAAAACGCUCUGUAGAAACUUGGCAUGACAUGGAGACAGUUACAAAAUUUGUACCAAUGCCGCUUCCUAUAUGGAAAAGAGAUCCUUCAAGAACUAAAUCUGUCCCUAUCCUGAAGGAGACUGGAGGCUGCAGAAGGCAGAUCCUAACUGAGUGUGGUAGUAGAUUGCUGUGGAAGAUGACAGCGGGCAAAUGUGCUGUGUGACGAGGCAUGACAGAAGGCUGCAAAUAACACAUAUGGUGCUGGUUAACUUCUUGGGGAAUCCAGGUCCUGACAUCUCGAUUCACAAGGUUCACAAGCAAGGACAGCUGCUGUUUCUUUAAGAGGCAGAGAGGAAACAUCAAGGGCUAUAGCCCAAGGCAGUACUUUUUACUUCCAAAAUAUUCUAAGCAAUGGGUUUGCUGAGCCACAAAAAAAAAAAUAUCUUUCAGCAUCCAUUAAAAUUAUAGCUGUGCCAUAUACCUGAGAAGCUUAAGUGUUGAUAUAUGACAUAUAACUUCUGUUUUGAAGUAAUUACCAAGUGUAAGCUGUGUUUGCUGAAACAGGAUACAAAAUUAGCUGAGACCAUUAAUUCUCCCCUGUGGAAGUGGCCCGCUCCUGAGAGCAGUCUGUAACUCCAGGUGCCAUGUCCUCCCUUGGCAUACAUCUUGCCAGGACUGUAAUUUUAAUUCUCUAAAUAGAUGUUUUACUAGAUCAGUUAACAUCUUUGCUCUUGUCAGAGAAUCUCAAAAUGUUUGACAUAAGAUUAUAAUUAUGUCCAAUAUCAUUCCUAGGAAGGUGCCUAGCUGGGAGGUGAAGACUCCUGUAAGAAAUGCAGUAAACCAAGCUUCUGAGAAGACACCUUUUUUUUUUUUCUAGUGGUAUAUCAUUUAUGGCACUGGUCAUCAAAGCAUUUAGUCAUGCACAGAAAUCUCAUCCAGUUCAGCAAAGUGAUUUUCUGUGUGUGGGAGCUCUCCAGCUGUAAAAUUAGGGUAGUAUAACUUUUCUAUCUGCUCUAUGAACUUACAGGGUUUAUAGAUGAACUUAGGAGUAUAUGUCACCAUGCCAAGAAGAGUGGUAGUUAUUAUUCAUUAAGCUGCAAAAUGGAGGCUGGGGGAAACAGUAAAGGUUGGGCACCAGAUUAAUACCAUGUCCACUUUUUAUAUUAUUUCUUAUAUUUCUUAAAGAUCUGACUGCUGGAGGCAUGUGAUUAAAUAUUUCCUACAUUUCAAAACCAAAUAAAUGAAAUGCAGUUGCCCUCCUCUAUAGGAGA
Molecule: long non-coding RNA, 1381 nt
Filed under: Anas platyrhynchos platyrhynchos (common mallard)
Lineage: Eukaryota; Metazoa; Chordata; Aves; Anseriformes; Anatidae
Description: lncRNA (ENSAPLG00000023313.1)
Source: RNAcentral